GGACUACCAGGGUAUCUAAUCCCAUUCGCGACCCACGCUUUCGUGCUUCAGUGUCAGUAGCGGACCAGUUUGCUGCCUUCGCUUUCGGUGUUCCCCAUGAUAUCAACGGAUUUCACCCCUACACCAUGAGUUCCGCAAACCCCUCCCGCACUCGAGUCUUGCCGUUUCCCCUGCAGAUUUUCGGUUAAGCCGAAAGGUUUAACAGGAGACUAACAAAACCACCUACGCACCCUUUACGCCCAAUGAUUCCGGAUAACGCUUGAGGCACUCGUAUUACCGCGGCUGCUGGCAC
This 292-nucleotide ribosomal RNA is filed under the name uncultured bacterium. Its description in RNAcentral is "partial 16S ribosomal RNA". The record is from RNAcentral.